AUCAGGUUGAUCUGAAGACAGCCACAUCAACUCUGACACUGGAGGUCGAAGGAUAGAGUGUGAUGCAGGAGAGUGAUGAUCUAGAGACAGCUGGGACAUCUCAAUCCCAGGAGACUGAACGAGUGGCAAAGGCUGCAGUGGUGACCUUCACUACCAUGACCCGCAAGGCUGCAGCCUCCCAGACCAGCCUCACCCUCAGCAGGGGAAAGAGAAGCUACCCAGACCUACACGCCUUUGUGCAGGACAUAAAGGAUGGCCAUUGGAAUCUGCUGAGUGAGAAUAUGCGUGCCGGGAUGAGCAGAGAUGAGUUUAGUGCUAGGUGCAUAUGGAUAUUACAAAUUGGGUGAUGGAGUCUACAUCCACUGUGGUCGUUCCUGCCAUUGACCUCACUAUGCAGAUCGAGCUCUCUGAUUCGUCAAGCUCUUCUGGAUCAGGAAGUAAUGAGACAAGAGAAGUGACCUCUCUUGGCCGCAGCGUCAGAUUCAGCUUUUGUGGUGGACCCAGUAGACGCACCAGUUCUGGAACUGCUUGAAGCACACAAACUCCCACGCCUUUCCCCUCCUCUCACAGGUACCUAUCCCCAUCCCCUCCUCUCACAGGUACCUACCCCCAUCCCCUCCUCUCACAGGUACCUACCCCCAUCCCCUCCUCUCACAGGUACCUACCAUUAUAGGUACCUACCCCUAUCCCCUUUU
Long non-coding RNA from Oncorhynchus tshawytscha (Chinook salmon), 695 nucleotides. Lineage: Eukaryota; Metazoa; Chordata; Actinopteri; Salmoniformes; Salmonidae. The record is from Ensembl.